Molecule: small nucleolar RNA, 86 nt
Organism: Gouania willdenowi (blunt-snouted clingfish)
Lineage: Eukaryota; Metazoa; Chordata; Actinopteri; Blenniiformes; Gobiesocidae
Source: Ensembl
GAGGAGUGAUGAUACUGAGAAAAGGUUUCGCUCUGUGAGCUGAUGUCAUCAUGUGAUGUCACCACUUCUCUUGGCUGUCUGACCAA